CUUGGCAAUUGUCUCUCUCCAGCUUUCCUGUAGCAUGGCUCACCUCUUCCCAAAACAAUCCCUUGGAUGUUGUGAAAAGAAAGGGAAAAAUGGAGAAGCACAAGGAUUUUAUGGCCUGGGCAGGACAACAGCACAGGCUGAGGACUCUGUGUUUCUUUAUUUGGAGUGUUCCAUGGGAUGGGGAGGAAUGGGAUGUGGAAGAGCAAACCAAAGAGCAGCUUUCCUUUAGUGUGCCUGUUUUUUAGGAAAGUUUUUCCUCCUGUUGCCAAUUCCUGGCCUUUCAGGUACUCUUUAUGUAAGGCAUAAAUGAAAACAUAAAUGAAAACACCUGAGUUUAUGUGGCUGCUGAAGGAAUUUACCUCAUUUGCAUACCCUGAGAAAAAUCACAGAAGGUUUUAUAUCCAAAAUCCUCAUUCCAGGGGAGGUCAGGCUGCAGAUUUCUCUCAGCUAUCACAGAUAUCACAGACAGGCCAUGAGUUAGGGACAAGCACAGCACAAAGGAGCAAAUUGUUACCUCCAGCACUACUGGAGAUAUUUUAUUUCUGUCCCAACCACGAGAAGACCUCAUGUACAUUUGCCUUGCAGGUUCUUUGGGUUUGAUUCCCUUGUUAAGGAAAAUUAAGCAGUAUUUUCCCUUUUUAUAUUAUUAUGUGUUUUCUGUGAGGUGCAUCUGGAUUUAAGCUUGCCACAGGGAAAUUCUCCUGGGAAUAUUCCUCCAGGAUCAGGGAGACCACCACACGGUUUUGGGUCACAGCAGGACCAUGAGGCACCUCAAGACAUCUCAAAAGACAUCUCCAACCAAGCUGGAAAUGGAGCUUGGGCCUCCUGUGUCCUUAAUCCCAGCAGCACCUUCCUCAUCCCUGUAUUUGCCUGGUCUGGGAAUCUCCCACUCCCUCACGAUGAGCACAACCCUGAGAUUAUCCCUGUCCAAUUCCUGUCAGGACACACACACACUGUCCCCAUCCCGAGCAGUGAUCCAGCUCCCUCUGGUGUGUUUGCAGAGAGGAUCCCGAGGUCAGGCACGAGGCUUUGCAGCUGAUCCCGGGGAGAGCAGCACCUCAAAGGAAAAUGUCAUUUACACCAGCAGUCCUGGGAAAUGGAACCCCCCAUUUAAUGGAGGUCAAAACACUCUGGGGCUCAGCAGCAGCUAUUUUUAGACGUCAUUAAGGUGUUAUUUUUAAACAUUAGCCAUUAAAAGCUUUCUAAUUUAAGCAGCCGGCGUUAAUUAGCCCUGCUUGCUCGGCGUCAUGUUUUCCAUGAGCCUCCCUCAGCAGUUCCAGCUGCCCCUGGUGCUCGGUAACACUUUCACUGCUGGGCACCAGCCUUCCCCUCCUGGCUGCCAAGUGGAGAAAGCAGCAGGAGCUCAACACCUUUAUCUCCAGGAGCAUCAGCAGCCUGCUGGAAACAUCUCCCUUUACAGCUCAGCUGAGGAGCAUCCAGUGGGAUCAGACUCAGCCAUUGUGGGGAAAUGAAAUGGCAGCUGGGAUGAAAACCAAUAAAAAAAAGAGAGACACCAUGUCCAUGCUCAGCCUUCAUGACCUCCAAGGCCCAUCUAAGCACCCAGUGACUGUGAAAUGAUGUGACAAUUUAUGAAACUUCUGAAUUCCCUCACCCUGCCAGCUCUUGCCAGCUUUAUUUUUAUGAGCACAAGGGCUGGAAAGACAAUUUUUCCAUCCAAACUUCAGUUUUGCCUGAUGCCUGUGCUGAACAAGAGCAGCCACGUCUGGGAUAAAUCCUUGGGCUGAAUCCAUGGGCUCUGUCCCAGCUGCCUCAGCCUUGGGAGCCACGGCUCCAGAGUAAACUCCAAACAAACAGCAGAAUCUGAUGUCACUAAUCUGGGUAUUUACCCAGGAUUAAAUAACAGAUGCAUGUUUUA
Parus major (Great Tit) is the source of this 1876-nucleotide long non-coding RNA. RefSeq lists it as uncharacterized. The record is from RefSeq and is a predicted model, not a curated record. The transcript has 2 exons. Lineage: Eukaryota; Metazoa; Chordata; Aves; Passeriformes; Paridae.